CGAUAUACCGAUUCCGUAUGGAUACGUGUAAAGGCCGAUUGAGCACAUGCACAGCUACGUUAGAACUCCAAAAUAAUGACCAAAGCAUAUACUACCGGCUGUACUAUAGAUCAAAAAAUUUUAUAUGGUACACGGUAAGAUUUUUAAAUAUAAAGAGUUUUGUUUAGAUUAAAUUUUGUAUAGUAGAAUGAGAAUGAUUCGCUGGUACUAGACUGAUUUUUUAAUUUUCGGCUUUCAUAUGUGAUAUAUAUAUUUGGCUUCUAACCAAUUUUAAAAUACAAAAUUAUCUUUCUACCAUAUUUUUUUUGCCAUUAAUUUCUUACAUUAAUAUAUUAGUUCCUAGAGGAGAUCAACUUUUUAGGUAACACUCCUAACAAACUUUUGGACCUUAAAAUCACAUUUCUAUUUUUGUCGCUAUAGCAGAAGCUUCAAACUAUUUUAGAUGCCAAAUGCUCCAGUACAGGUAACUAACUAUAAGGGCGCGUUUGGUUCGAGUUAUGUAAUAUUACAGAGCAUUUCGAUAUAUUCAGGUAUCUUAGAUUUCUAAAUGAGAUUACUAUUGAUGUUGUAUAAGCGCGUUUAGUUUAAUACAGUAAUCUAAUGCUGGAUUGCAGUGUUUAUAGUACUAUUAUGUUUGGUUCUGUUUAUAAAAUUGAGUAAUUUAGAGAAUAAAGUAAAAUCUAUUCCAAAAUUGCCCUUAGCCAUAUUUCGCCAAUCUUUUUUUUUUAGUGUUUACAAAUAAUAUUUUUUUACUAAAUUUUAUUUUAAAUAAUUUAAUUUUUUAAAUUUAAAUUUUAAAUUUUAAAUUUGAACAAAAAUAAAAAUUUAUUAUUUUAAUUUAAAAUAUAAAUAUGAAAUUUAUAAAUUUAAAAUCUAAAAUAUAAAUAUAAAAUUAAAAAUCUAAAUUUAAAAUUUAGAAUUUAAACUACAAAUUUGAAAUUUGAAAUUUGAAAUUUAAAAUUUAAAAUUUGAAAUUUAAAAAUUAAAAAUUAAAAUUUGAAAAAUAAUAAUUAAAAUUCAAAAUUUAAAAGUUGACCGUUCAAAAUUUUAAAUUAAUUUUUUUAAAAUGACGUAUUGAAAGGGUUUCGGGAGUUAGAGGGGUAAAAUUGUCAUUUUAUAUAUUAUGCAGUAUUACUGGCUUUCAGUAAUCCAAGAUACACACCCCUCUCUCGAUAAUAUUUUUAGUGUAAUCCUGCAUCUUUGUAAUGCUACAUUAAUGACUCGACUACAUACCAAAUGAACCAAACACGAUAAUUCUGACAGGAUUGCCUGUAAUCUUGCCAGGAUAACUCGAACCAAACGCACACAGAAUUAUCUAUAAUCCUGCCAGGAUAAUCCGAACCAAACGCAUCCUAAACGAAAGCAUAAGCGAAAGCGGGGCCAAACAUACCAUUUAAUUUAUAGCAAGAAAAAAAGAAAUAUAAAGUUAACAAGCUGCAUCAAAGUUAGAGAGAGGUUGAGGAAAUCAAACCAAGUGGUGGUAACUUGACAUGGAUGAUGACUUACUGCUUAAUGACAACACAAACUUCUUAGGGUGAGGAACUGAGAAUGCAAAGUUGGAGAGCAUGUCCAAAGGAUGAGUAAUAAGAAGAAGAAGAUGAUGAUGAUGAUGAUAAAAAUAAGGAGAGAAGCAAAAUAUUGGGAACUAUUAAUAUUACUGGAUCUUGGUGUUAUCUUAAAAAUUAUUAUAUUGAGGAGAUUUGGUACCUAUCUUUUUCUUGUUUGUUUUCUUGUUUUUUUCUCUUUGGUUAAUGCUGAGUGGUGGUACUGGUACAUACAUGUCAAUUUGAGAUUGAGCCACAGUGAUCAUUUAGCAAGGGAAAAACCCUGGUACAAGUAAAGGUACCAUUAAGCAAGUGUUCUCAGCAAAAAGAACCAAAAAACAAAAAAAAAAUUGUAAAAAAUGGUGCCAUUAGGGAGUUCCCUCUCAUUGUUCAAAGCAUGCGUUCUCACCCCCACAAAAGAAAAAAAAAAAAAAACAAAACAAAACAAAACCAAAAGGUUCAUUGAGCAAGUUCUCCAAUGAGAGUAAAUUGGCCUUGUUCACACUCAUUUUGGGGACGCUGAAAUGUGAGCGAAUCAACACAAAACACGUGGCGUGAUAUCUGGAGAAAGCUACAGUUGUUGACUUGUUGUUGAUUUGAUUUAGGAAAUAUAAAAGGAGAGAAAAAAAAAAAAUCAGAAUCUGUAAUCUUAGCAGUAGGCGAAACUUAGCUUUGAAAUAGCGAUAACAUAAAAACCAUCGUGCGAAAAGAGCUACCACCUCGAUGGCCUUCGAUGACGUCUAUGUGAUAUAAUUGUUAUACUCUAAAAAUUUAAACUGUGGCCUCGAGACUUUUUACAAGAUCCAUAACGUAAAUUUAAAUUAAAUAGAAGGAAAUUAAUUAUGCUAGAGAUCUGACAUCUGACAUAACUUGAACUCAGAACCUCCUGCUUUGAUACGAUGCGAAACAACCGUUGUACCUUAAAAAUUUAAACGGUUAAAAAACGGUAUUUAUAUAAUUUUAUAUUUAACAGCCUUACCGGAGAACUCACAUCCACGCUGUUGUUUGCUCCAAAAACCGCCUCCAUCUGGAUCAACAGUCAAGACUGAAAGGGCCAAAUGCAUAUUGGUUUGGUUAGUAUCUAGAGAAAUGAUUCGGUACUUUUUUUAAAAAAAAAUAAAAAAAAUCUUAACCGUUGAUUAAUAAAGGGUAAAAAUGUAAUUUUAAUACUUAGCAGGUAAAAAAAUUAUUUUAUUCAAGGUUAGUUUGGUAAUUAAACAAUACAACAUUUAAAGAAACUUUCAAUUGAGGUCCUAAAUUUACGCACUAAUUAGCACUAAUUUAGGAAAUUAAUUGAUUAACCAAAUUUAUGCAAUUAUUAGGCAUUAAUUUAGACAUCUACUUUAAAUGUUUUAGUGUUUCUAAAAUUAUGCAUUAAUUUAAAUUAUAGAAAUUUUAGAAAUAGUUUUAUUUCUAAAUACGAUGAAUUUAAAUUUUAAAAAUUAAGUACUUAAAAUUUAAAAGUGAAAUUUAAAUUAGAGGAAUUUCAUAUUAUCUCUAUUCGGAAGUUUAAAAUAAUGUUUUAGAAACAAUUAUCUCUAUUCCGAAUAGAGAUAAUAGUUUUAAAUUAGUGUUUCUAGUUAAAAUAAAAAAAAUUUGACAAAUAAAGAGAAAACACUAAAACACUAAGUUAAUGUUUCUAGUCAACAUAUUUAAUAUGUUUNNNNNNNNNNNNNNNNNNNNNNNNNCGGCCUAGCGGAUCCAUCUUUUUAAUCAUUAGUUAGUUAUGGAUUCACAGAUACAUAUAUAUUAUAUAUCUAUAUUUGCAUAAAAUCUUAAUCUUAUCAAGAUGUUUUCUUCUCUUCAAUAAAAUUAAGUAACUCUCAAAAUACUCAUACAUUAUCCAAGACUAGAAUCACAAUUCCAAGUAAAAGAUCUUAUCUCUAUAUAGAUAUAUUUCACAUAUUUUCAAUUAGAUUCUCUAAUUCCUAAUUAGAGAUAAUAUCACUCCUCACAUAUUUAAUUAGAUCUCUAUCAUCUUUUUAAUCUUAUUUUCAAUAAGGUUACUUUACUAAUAAAUUAAUUCCUCACUCUUAAAUACACUUCCAUGAUCUAAAUAUCCGGUAUCCCUCAACACUCUCAUUAGAGUGGGAUAAAUUUAACUUUCGAGGCCGCUCAAGUGUCAGAACUGAUACUGAGAUCCUAAUCUGACAUCUGGGAACUCACUUACAGUUGAAUACCGACAGCGAAUGAAUUAACAUCCUAAUUUCACACUGAUCAAGCGCCAGCUUCUAUUUUCACUCAGCUUUGACACUAAACUCUCAUGUACUGAAAUGACUCGUCAUCCAAACGGAUUCCCAGGUGCACGACAAUUCUAUGUGUGUCGACCGCAUAGGUUAUACCAUCGGCAGUGGAAUCAACAUAAACUGUUUGAUAUUUUAAUUAUAACUCUUCUAAUCGACAAUCCAAACAAUUCAAUUCAGUUAUCUCAUAGUGUCUGCUCGGCCGUCCCCGUAGUGACCCGACUGUGCUGUAUAGAAUGGAAUUCUAAAUUAAUUAAGGUGGUCAUGCACCUUAAUUAAUUGGAUCCAUGAUAGCUAUUGAUCUAUAUACAUAUAGAAAUCAAUCUCUCUCCGAUCUCUCUUCUGCGCGCGUGUUUCUUUCCGAUCAACUUCUCUAUUCUUCAUCGACUGAAAGAUCAUGAAGUGAUUGCUAGCACCGUCCAGAUGGUCCGUGACUCAUCCGGUUCGUGAGACGAAGAUAGAUCGGGUAUGCGCCGAUUCCGUGUGGAUACGCGUAGAGGCCGGGCAUGUGCACGGCUAAUCGGAAUCUCUGUUCGUCAUAUUCAGUUUCAACCGUACAGUAGAUCAAGAGACCUUAACUGGUCCACGGUAAGAUUUCUAAACAUAAAGAGUUUUUUGUUUAGAUUAAUUUUUUGCAUAGUAACAUGAGAAUGAUCCGCCGGCAACGGUUUGAUUUAUUGGUUUUCGGUUUUCAUAUGUGAUAUGUAUUUAGCUUCCGAAAAAUUUUAAAAGUGCAAAAUUAUUUUCCGCUGCGUUUUUCUGAUGUGCCGGUUAUUUUCUAACACCUCGAUGGCCUUCGAUGACGUCUAUGUGAAACAAUCGUUAUACUCUAAAAAUUUAAAUUGAACUAAAAUAGUUUUAGAAUGAAUGACUAUUUGAAAAAUGGAAUGUCACAGCUAGUAUCAGAGCAAAUCACCAGUCGGAAAUGUAAGAUGAGUCUUGAUUGAGUAAGGAUUAUACAACGGGUAGAGCGUGACUCUCAACUAAUUACUACUGUGGGUGGAACGCGACUCUCCACAAGAUCGGCUAAAGACUAACGAGACGAGUCUCACAUCUCGUCUCGCAUCACCUGAUGUCGAAUUUGAAAUAGUUAUAUAUAUAAAAUAUAAUAUGACUAAAUCUCUUAACCCGAUUGUAAUAUUUUGGAUAAUGGUUAGAUCCAAAAAAUUAAGAAAGUUAAGCGUAAUAGGACUAAAGUAGUUUUAGAAUGGAUGAU
RNAcentral lists this long non-coding RNA (5003 nucleotides) under Ananas comosus (pineapple). Its description in RNAcentral is "long non-coding RNA (ACOM_LNC028462)". The record is from RNAcentral. Lineage: Eukaryota; Viridiplantae; Streptophyta; Magnoliopsida; Poales; Bromeliaceae.